UUAAAAAAUAGAUUUUAUUUUUAUUUUUUUGAAUGAAAUUAUAAAAAAAAUAAAAAAAUUUUAAAUACCACUCUAUGGUUUCACACUUUUUCACUUUCUCACUUUAGUAUUAUGUGGUUUAAAGUGUAGCAAUUUAGUAGCUUGUGGUUUUAUUUUUCUUUUUUUAUUAUACAUUCAAAGUUAAAACUAAAAAGUAUUAAAAUAAAUAUUCGAUAAACCUAAGUAGAGUAUUUGAAGUUUUUUGUAUAUAAUUUAGUAAAAUAUUAACAAAUGAGCUGACGAAAAGAAAAAAAAUAAAACUACAUAAUACUAACUUGAUAUACUUUUAACCAUAGGGUACUGAGGUGAGAAAGUACAAAACUAUAUAGGUGGUAUUUAAAGUUUACCCUAAAAAAUAUAAUAUAACUAAAUUAAUAAAUGAAAUAUUUCUUAUCUUAUUU
This 440-nucleotide long non-coding RNA is filed under the name Ananas comosus (pineapple). RNAcentral describes it as "long non-coding RNA (ACOM_LNC026933)". The record is from RNAcentral. Lineage: Eukaryota; Viridiplantae; Streptophyta; Magnoliopsida; Poales; Bromeliaceae.